UUAUUAUGAGAGUUUGAUCCUGGCUCAGGACGAACGCUGGCGGCGUGCCUAAUACAUGCAAGUCGAACGCUUCUUUCCUCCCGAGUGCUUGCACUCAUUUGGAAAGAGGAGUGGCGGACGGGUGAGUAACACGUGGGUAACCUACCCAUCAGAGGGGGAUAACACUUGGAAACAGGUGCUAAUACCGCAUAACAGUUUAUGCCGCAUGGCAUAAGAGUGAAAGGCGCUUUCGGGUGUCACUGAUGGAUGGACCCGCGG
RNAcentral lists this ribosomal RNA (258 nucleotides) under Enterococcus faecalis. RNAcentral describes it as "partial 16S ribosomal RNA". It matches the Rfam family "Bacterial small subunit ribosomal RNA", at positions 1 to 236 of the family's 1533-position model. Lineage: Bacteria; Bacillati; Bacillota; Bacilli; Lactobacillales; Enterococcaceae. The record is from RNAcentral.